This 413-nucleotide unclassified non-coding RNA is filed under the name Mitrasacme stellata. RNAcentral describes it as "partial external transcribed spacer". Lineage: Eukaryota; Viridiplantae; Streptophyta; Magnoliopsida; Gentianales; Loganiaceae. The record is from RNAcentral.
GGAUCUUUGCUUGAGCAACGACGUCCGCCCGUUCGAGCCUUUUCAUUCAUGGUGCAAGAGUUCUAUUCCUUGGCCGGUUUUGGUUUCCUGUGUUUCAUACCGAUACACGGAAUCGUUUUGUUUCAAUCGUCCCUCGUUCGUCUUAUGAUGCCCGCUUCUAGCGUGUGCUUUGUUGAUGAACCACGAAGUGCCCGUUGCCGUCCUCCUCAGCCACGUUUACUCGUGUGUUGGGUGCGGCCUGUGACAGGGUCCUUGUGCUCAUGGAUGCAGUACCCUCUUAGGGUACGGGGAUCGUCCCCUUUCUGCCCAAAAUUAUGCGUUCACCGCUAAUCAGCGAACGACCGUUGUUGGCGUCUUGGGUCGGCCGUCUCUAUGAGUCGUGCUAACCCGAGUGUCAACGACGUCGGUAAGGA